UGGCGGCAGGCCUAACACAUGCAAGUCGAGCGGUUGACGGGAGCUUGCUCCCUGAUUCAGCGGCGGACGGGUGAGUAAUGCCUAGGAAUCUGCCUAUUAGUGGGGGACAACGUUUCGAAAGGAACGCUAAUACCGCAUACGUCCUACGGGAGAAAGCAGGGGACCUUCGGGCCUUGCGCUAAUAGAUGAGCCUAGGUCGGAUUAGCUAGUUGGUGAGGUAAUGGCUCACCAAGGCGACGAUCCGUAACUGGUCUGAGAGGAUGAUCAGUCACACUGGAACUGAGACACGGUCCAGACUCCUACGGGAGGCAGCAGUGGGGAAUAUUGGACAAUGGGCGAAAGCCUGAUCCAGCCAUGCCGCGUGUGUGAAGAAGGUCUUCGGAUUGUAAAGCACUUUAAGUUGGGAGGAAGGGUUGUAGAUUAAUACUCUGCAAUUUUGACGUUACCGACAGAAUAAGCACCGGCUAACUCUGUGCCAGCAGCCGCGGUAAUACAGAGGGUGCAAGCGUUAAUCGGAAUUACUGGGCGUAAAGCGCGCGUAGGUGGUUUGUUAAGUUGGAUGUGAAAGCCCCGGGCUCAACCUGGGAACUGCAUCCAAAACUGGCAAGCUAGAGUACGGUAGAGGGUGGUGGAAUUUCCUGUGUAGCGGUGAAAUGCGUAGAUAUAGGAAGGAACACCAGUGGCGAAGGCGACCACCUG
Molecule: ribosomal RNA, 699 nt
Filed under: Pseudomonas sp.
Lineage: Bacteria; Pseudomonadati; Pseudomonadota; Gammaproteobacteria; Pseudomonadales; Pseudomonadaceae
Description: bacterial SSU rRNA
Rfam family: Bacterial small subunit ribosomal RNA
Source: RNAcentral